GCGGGCGUAAUUCAGCGGUAGAAUGUCAGCUUCCCAAGCUGAACGUCGUGGGUUCGAUCCCCAUCGCCCGCUCCA
This 75-nucleotide transfer RNA is filed under the name bacterium. RNAcentral describes it as "tRNA-Gly". It matches the Rfam family "tRNA". From Rfam's summary of the family: Transfer RNA (tRNA) molecules are approximately 80 nucleotides in length. Their secondary structure includes four short double-helical elements and three loops (D, anti-codon, and T loops). The record is from RNAcentral. RNAcentral also lists the same sequence under 1 other name.